CGGGCUUGUAGCUCAGUGGAUUAGAGCACGUGGCUACGAACCACGGUGUCGGGGGUUCGAGUCCCUCCUUGCCCGA
RNAcentral lists this transfer RNA (76 nucleotides) under Chondria sp. (in: red algae). Its description in RNAcentral is "Chondria sp. (in: Rhodophyta) tRNA-Arg". It matches the Rfam family "tRNA". From Rfam's summary of the family: Transfer RNA (tRNA) molecules are approximately 80 nucleotides in length. Their secondary structure includes four short double-helical elements and three loops (D, anti-codon, and T loops). The record is from RNAcentral. Lineage: Eukaryota; Rhodophyta; Florideophyceae; Ceramiales; Rhodomelaceae.